RNAcentral lists this small RNA (180 nucleotides) under Arabidopsis thaliana (thale cress). RNAcentral's name for it is "ATSL268720". Lineage: Eukaryota; Viridiplantae; Streptophyta; Magnoliopsida; Brassicales; Brassicaceae. The record is from RNAcentral.
AUACGAACUUCAGCUACACCAUCAAAGCUUUGAGAAGGAAGACAAGCUUGGUUAGUGUUUUGGAGUCGAAUAUGACUUGAUGCGAUGUGUAUGAUUGAGUAUGAGAACUUAAACCGCAACCGGAUCUUAAAAGCCUAAGUAGUGUUUCCUUGUUCGAAGAUACAAAGCCAAAGCCUCAUA